Echinops telfairi (small Madagascar hedgehog) is the source of this 5471-nucleotide long non-coding RNA. RefSeq lists it as uncharacterized. The transcript has 9 exons. NCBI's taxonomy places the organism in Eukaryota, Metazoa, Chordata, Mammalia, Afrosoricida, Tenrecidae. The record is from RefSeq and is a predicted model, not a curated record.
CGGAGUAUGGACCGCGUUUUAAAAUUUAAAUCCCAUCUAGGCACACUUCCUGGUUGUGGUUGGUCACAGUGACCAGAGCCCAGGAAAUAACCACACGGAUUCUUGGGUAAGGGUGAGGGUAACCAAUGGGCAUUAAUUUGCAGGCUCACCUGAGCAGGUCUGAAGAGGCCCUUCCUUGCCUGUGCUGUUGAUUAUGGAUCUUGGGUGGCUUGCCCUUUUCAAAAAGUUCUCUCCCCAGAACACCACUUUGAAAUUGAGCCCUGGCGGCCAGCAACCAUGGUGCCCAAGGUUUUCACUACCAGAUGCCAGGGAAGAGUCCUCUGUUUUGGGGCUUGCUUGUUAAUGAAUUCAGAGUGGGCAGUGAUUUCUGUGCUGUGAAAUCCUCCCCCCCCCCAUAUUUUUUCUCCCUUUGGCUACGGUUUACAUAUGUGUGUAUAAUCCCAUCACAUGGUUCUGGGAUGUUGCCACCUACAGACAGUAUACAAAGCCAUUUGUAGGGGUUCUCUGUCUUUUCUUCCUUCCCUAUCCCUUUAAGGGAACCGUAGACUUGGGCAAACCAGCCCUUAGCCUGCACAUCCCCCUGCUGAAGUCUUGUUGACCUUGGUGGCAUUGUGGAGGUCAUGUGUUCAUAAACAGUUCUGGAACUGCUUCCUCCCGCUGGUAUGGACAGAGGUGAAACUGAUUUGAGGCGGGUGUGGGCCAGCUUUUGUGUUUAGAAAUCCUUUUUUAUUGAACCUUUUUUUUUUUGGCCGUUACUUUUGGAUUUUUUUUAGUUGGUGGGGUGGGGGAGAUUUCCUACAUGUCCAGUUUGCAUUUUAAGGGAAAGAAUCAGGGUUUGUUUUUUUCCCCCCGAACUUUUCUAGCCUUGCUGGUGCAUCACAGGGACAGCUGAGUGUCCUGGUGACAUUUUUAGAGCUUGGUGAAGGGAAGGAGGGACGGAGAAGGGCAGGCCUGGGAGCCCAGUGCCUUUGGCUUCUGAAAGCAGCUGCAUUCUAUGUAAGAAAUUUGAUACUUACAAGUGGAAGAUUACAAAACAAAUAAAUUAAGCAGUGGCUAGUUGUGUUACAUUAGAAUUCUACAUUUUGCAAAAAAGGAUCCACUACAAGGUGCCUUUAAACGAUCGAUGCGCCCCCCCCACCCCCCUUAUGUGGAACUUAGGGGCCCUGGUAGUGCAGUGGUUAAAGCUCUCAAAUGCACACCAGAAGAGGCCCAUCACACCUACCAGCCACGUCCCUGGAGAGUAAGGCGGCGUGGACAUCCCUUUGGGGCAGUUUGGCUGCAUUCUGUCCUAUCAGCUCGUUUGCCAUGAGCUGGAAUCCACCGGAUGACAGAGGUUUGGGGAUUGUAUCUGGUACUGCUCAAAUGUAAUUUGCUUUAUGGAAAAUCGGUUGGAGUGCAGCAACUUAAAGACAGAUUUUUUGCAUAGUGGAACAUUUACCCGUGUGUUUUCCUUCAAUUUUCCCUUUCCUAAAACUGCCUGGGGGCAAAGUUAAUAUUUAUGGGGCUUCUUAAACUCAGGAGUGAACCACAUAGUGCUACCUACUAAUUUUUAACUGAGUGGAAAAGUUGUCCUGAUGUGCCCUGCACCGUUUGAGGGGACACACUGAGGCCUCAUUCAUAACAGUUUUCAUUGUGAAGGAAAAUUCUGAGUCAAGUUAGUCUAGAAACGUCACCCCCACCCCCUCCAGGUAAUGCACUCUCUUGGUUUCAAACUUGCCUGGCCCCUUCUUAGAGGGGUCCUCAGCAUUCACACACACACACACACACACACACACACACACACACACACAAUCACGCCGAGUGCUGGUGUGAAGUCUGAGGGCAACACCAGCCAGUGCUCCCAGACUUGUUCUCUAGGCGCAAAUUGUCGUCAGAAUUAAAGGCCUGCUUUUUCCACAGCUGUCAUUUUAUUUGGGUCACUGGUGAAGAAAAUGCUAUUUUGAUCAAAGAAUGGCUACAAAUUCUUUAAACUUGCAAAGGGCCCCCUUCCCAACCUUCUCUCUCUUUGUUAAUGGAAUCAGGUUGGUUUGGAAUCAUCUCAAAGAAGUACAUGGGGAUUUGGGUUCUGAAAUCGUUUUGCGUUGGUGAAAUCCUGCUCAACUAUUCCCGUUCCUGUUUUAAACAUCACCAGAGCAAAAUGAACUUACCGCUGGGAGGAGGGAGGAAGUGCUGACAAACGGUCUUGAGGAUAAUGGAUCCCAUCCAGUUUGCUUUGUGCUCUCCUGCCUGGUGCAGGGGAGAGCAGGCCCCCACCCCCACCCUGAGUUUAGAGCAGGAAUGUGGAGGACCAGAGCAGCAGCUUAGGCCAGGGCCUUCAAACAGUUGACCAGACAAUGGAAUGAGGGUGGAAUUUUCCACCAACUUUUUGAAAGCCCUCCAGAGCACUUAGUCUUUUUUUUUGUUUUGUUCCUGUGCUUUAGACAGAAAGCAGGGAGUUUGGACUGGUGCUCUGGGGAGACUGGACACACUGUGGUGUGGUGUUCUGAGUGACCUCCCCCACCCGACUGUUACAAAGAUGGGGGUGGGGGGCUCGCCAGUGCCAUCCUGAGUUCUCAGUACCAGCUCCUGCCGCCUACAUUAAACAAGUGAGUUAAAAAUGAAGAUAUGCUAUUAAAAGAAUGUUUUUUGUCCGUCCAUCUCCCCCCCCCCCAAAUUUCAGUAAACCACCUCCGGAUUGCUAAUUUCAGUGCACAGUGAAGUUUUUAAAAUAGUACAUCAGAUUUAUGAUUAACGAGAGCCCUUGAUUACUUUUUUAAUGCAUGCAAAAGUAAGUGUAGUGCUAGGUGUUUUUAUUUGUGCCGAGGUAGGAGUGAAUAGAGGUAAUGAUUAGACAUUUUAAUUAGAACUUAGGGCUGAUUUAUGUCCUUGUGCUCAUAAUUCAGCCCAGUGUCACUUUCAGAAUGCCAUGCAGUGCUCCUGUCUCCAGUUUCCUCUCCCACAAAACGAACUCAGUAGCACAGCACGCCUGUGUGAACUAGGACUUUGCAAGGAGGAUUUCUGAAGCCUAAAGCGUACCUGUAAACUCACUGGUGGAAUUUCAGUAGUUUCAUACCCUUAAUCGGCAGAAAUUUGAAUGGAAGAUUUUAAAAUACAAGAAAAGCUGAUUCAGUUUCGCCUUUUGGCUCCGGCUCUCACAGGGCGCAUGCUGCUCAAAGGUGAAUACCUCUGAAGAGCUGUGGCUCGCCUGCGGUCCUCUCUGCUCUCUUUGGACACUGGUCAGUAGUUGACCGCCAACUGUACACCCUGAAAGGACCUUUGGUGCAGGAUCCACUGGCUGUGGUGCCUCUGAUGUCCCCCUGAUGAAGACAAGCCGUGGAGAUCCUUCUCUCUUUCCCAGGGACAUCAGCCCGCCUCGACAUGCAGGGACCCUAACGGGCCAGUGCUGUUCCUGGGAGAGUUGGAGAGGGCCAACCAGCAUCCGGUGACUGCUCCUGCAAGCCCUGACCUGCUGCAGAAAGCGAAGCCCCCUGUGUCCAGUGCCAGCACCAGGGCUCUCAGCCACCUUCCUUAGUCUUUGCUUGACGUCCUGGAUGUAAAGGAUCUGAUAAGCGAGUAGCAUGUCAUCACUCGUCACCUUUUUAAAUACUGGCUCUUUUAAGCCUUGGACGUCUGUGGACCAGAGGCUUCCUUCAUAACGCUCGUCAUCAGAUUUGCUAGUUCACAGCCAAGGCUGCCGCCCUGCCAUUCCGGUGCUACCAGCGACUGAGGGCGCGAGGAUGCUGCCCUGGAACGAGGGCCCUUCUGGGAUGUCCAAAGAGCAGCGCUUUACACGCAGAGACGGCGCUUUGACAUCACGGGAAGGAACCUGUGGGCUUGAGGACGGCAUGCAGGCUACCUGUUGGCACCUGGUCCUCUGGCUUCAGGAAGUACAGUGGGGACAGAAGGGCAGCAGUGUGUGUCUCUGUGAACAGGCCACAGCGAGGCCCGCCCCUCUCUGCGUUCAUUUCCCUGGACAGGCCUCCGCCCUUGAAGAGCCUUGGCGGUGCUGUGGUGAAGCACUCGGCUGCCAACCGAAAGAUCUGCGGGCCUAGCCACCCCUUCCAUGACGAUGCCCAGCUGGGGGAGUCCCACAGAGCCCCGCUGUGUGAGUGGUGAUGGCCUGGGCUUGGCCUCCGGAGCACGCCGGGGCUGCGCUGCCAGUGUGCCGGCAGAAACAAAACCAACGGUGGCUACGGCGCCUCAGUGACAGAGGGAGUGCCUGCAAUCCCGCUCGAUGACCUGCCGGCGCGGGGCUUGUCUGACAUUCAGAGCUGGAGCCUGGGCGGGCGUGUCUCCUGUGGACCCUAUUGGCCACCAGCUGGGAGGGCCCACAUGACGGGAUCCUGUGGAAGGAAGAAGGGGUGGGGCUCUUUAAGGUGACUUUGUUCAACAGAAGAAAACAAUCUCUAAUUAUUUUAUUUGUUAUUAAGAAGGGAGCUGUUCUCUGUACCAGUAGGAGCCCUGGUGGCACAAUGAGCAAAGUCCCAGGCUGUUGGUUUCAAGGUCGGUGGUUCAAAUCCACCAGCCGCUCUAGGAGAGAAAGAUGAGGCUCUCUGCUCUCCUAAAGAUUUAUAGCCUUAGAUAGAAGCCCUGAGGGCCAGUUCUAUGCUGUCCUACAGAACCCCCGUGGGUCUGAAUCAGCUGGGCAGCAGCAGGUUGGGUUUGGCCAUUGGUUCUAUUAUGUAUCAGAUACAAAACCUCUGUCAUUGUGCCUUCCUUUGAAACCUGUCAAAUGCUGAAGAAGCCGUUCUGUAAUUAUACCGAGUCCAGAGAGAGUCGCAGUGCGUUGUGGGAGCGCGACACACACUAAAGAUCUCUGUAACCAGGCUCUCAAUCUGAGCACAUUUGGGAGUCCCCCAGCCAUGAACCAGUGUGUCAAAUACAGUGUUCUCUGCUCCUCUGGGGGGGGGGAAUGGGUAGUGUUUAUGUGUGGCGCAGGUUACCAAAUGGCCUGAAGUUCAAAUCCAAAACCCAGGGGUUGAUUGUGAAUCGUUCUGUUUGGUUUGACAUUCAUUGGCUUGCACCUCAGUGCUCUGAUCAUGUGGUAGGGCCUCCGACCGCAGCGGCCCUUGGCAGUCGCACGUUGCCACUCUGCACAAAUUAGAUGUGACACUGGAGUUGUAAUGAAGUGCCCUUGGAGUGUGCCUCAUGCUUUAAUUGGCCCAACGAAAGUCUAAGUUGUACAGGGCUCUCUGCCCCCCAGGAAGCACGUGCCUGCCAUCUUUGCUGACCGGGUACUUGCUGAAAUGUGAACGUUUUAUGUAUAUUUUCUUCCUGAUAAGCACGUGCGUCUCAGUUUCCACUGUGACAGAAUCUGGACAAGUGCAGUGUCCCCUCUCCCCUCCUUGUCACCACCUCGCUGUCUGUGUGACUCGUCUCAACAGAGAAAACUUAAAAGUGGGCAAACGAAAUCAGAAAAAUGUAAAGUUGGGUCUCUUGCAUAAUAACUGUGUAUGUCCUGAAAUUAAACUCUUAUUUUCUGUCAAGGAUAA